This 597-nucleotide ribosomal RNA is filed under the name Triticum aestivum (bread wheat). RNAcentral describes it as "partial small subunit ribosomal RNA". Lineage: Eukaryota; Viridiplantae; Streptophyta; Magnoliopsida; Poales; Poaceae. The record is from RNAcentral.
AUGUUAGGAAUAAGGAAGAUACAUAAUCAGCUAGCAUAUAAUAUUGAAGCUUGCAUAAAUGGCACAAAAUAUAUAAUAGAUGAAAUUACGAUAAGAGAUUUGUCAGUAAUAAAUGAUGACAUGAUAAUAGGGUUAAGAUUUUUACAACAAUAUUUACGAACCACAAUCAUACAUGAAGAAGGGGUAACAUUUAUCCCUUAUCAAGAUAAUGUUCCAUACAUAUUUGAAGUGAGAAAACAAAGAAAGUCCUUACAAAAUGUAGAUAUAUCUAAUUUAGAUGAUGAAUAUGGCACAAGUCCACAUCCCCUUGAAUUCUGUAAAGACGAAGAACUUAGUGAGACCAUAGAAGAAUAUCAUAUAGAAAAUACAUGUACAGAAUGCAUUGGGUUACAAUCAUUUUCGCCAAAUUGGUAUAGAAAUAUAAAAUCUAAAAAAGAUAUAGAUAAGAUUGUGCAAAGACUAGAAAGCAUACAAAUUAUUGGAGAAAUACCAAUCAAACAUUGGGAUAAGAACUCUAUAGUUUGCAAAAUAAAUAUCAUAAAUCCAGAUAAUAUAAUUAAGUCAGGACCAAUAGAAGCUACUCCUAAAGAUAUAUAA